Molecule: ribosomal RNA, 492 nt
Filed under: uncultured bacterium
Lineage: Bacteria
Description: partial 16S ribosomal RNA
Rfam family: Bacterial small subunit ribosomal RNA
Source: RNAcentral
AGUGAACGCUGGCGGUAGGCCUAACACAUGCAAGUCGAACGGCAGCACAGUAAGAUCUUGCUCUUACGGGUGGCGAGUGGCGGACGGGUGAGGAAUACAUCGGAAUCUACUUUUUCGUGGGGGAUAACGUAGGGAAACUUACGCUAAUACCGCAUACGACCUACGGGUGAAAGCAGUGGAUCUUCGGACCUUUCGCGAUUGAAUGAGCCGAUGUCGGAUUAGCUAGUUGGCGGGGUAAAGGCCCACCAAGGCGACGAUCCGUAGCUGGUCUGAGAGGAUGAUCAGCCACACUGGAACUGAGACACGGUCCAGACUCCUACGGGAGGCAGCAGUGGGGAAUAUUGGACAAUGGGCGCAAGCCUGAUCCAGCCAUACCGCGUGGGUGAAGAAGGCCUUCGGGUUGUAAAGCUCUUUUGUUGGGAAAGAAAAGCAGCAGGUUAAUACACCCCUGUUCUGACGGUACCCAAAGAAUAAGCACCGGCUAACUUCGUG